Long non-coding RNA from Sinocyclocheilus anshuiensis, 358 nucleotides. RefSeq lists it as uncharacterized. The transcript has 3 exons. Lineage: Eukaryota; Metazoa; Chordata; Actinopteri; Cypriniformes; Cyprinidae. The record is from RefSeq and is a predicted model, not a curated record.
CAGAGUUGAACACCUCUGCUUUUGUGUGUCCUGUCACGAGUCAGAAUUUGUGACUAUUUUUGCCUUAUGUAAAAAUGCAUUGUACAAUCAUAUAAAAUAAGUCAAAUAAUUGGUUAUUAACAUGCACAUAUAUCCUCUAGGAAACCUUCUGAAUGUCUUUUACACCUUUAGUUUCAAGGAUGUGGAAAGCUGUGGUGACCCGUCCAUCACUCAACAACUCAAGUUUCACACUUGAGACCAAACAGGUUUAAACUGAGAGAAUGCAGGCUCUUCAGGUUCUGUCUCUGACUCUGCUGUCUGUGCUGGCGGUCAGCGCUCAGUCCAUCGGCUCUGGAAAAUGCCCACAGCCUCCUGUUCA